UAUCAUAUAAAUUUAUAAGAACUUGUGUAAUAAUUUCCUCGAUUGGUAUUGGAUUUUAUCUAAUAUAUUUUAAUAAGAAGAAAAGAAAUUGCAUAGAUAUUAUUAAAGGAUACUUUGGUCUUAAAAUUUCCCAAAUCACCAUGGACUUGGAAAUGUAUAUGCCGCUUACCUUCAUGUUUAGCUCCUGAACUUCUUUAUAUAUGUUCAGGCCAAAAUAUCCCACAUUAAAAAUAUAAAUAGACAUAUGCGCCGCCGGUUAAAUACGACGUCCCCGAUGAUUUUUGACGACGCCGAUGUAAAAAUGGGCGACAUGGCGGUGUGAUACAUAUUUUUUAUUAUUAAAUUAAUAUUUAUUUUUUAUAUUAUUUAUGAAUUGUAAUUAGAAGAAAAAUAAUAUUAAAUAUUUUUGAAUUAUUAAAAAAUGCUAUUUUAUUUUUUAAAAUUAAUAAAUUUUGUUUGCUA
Molecule: long non-coding RNA, 462 nt
Organism: Gordionus sp. m RMFG-2023
Lineage: Eukaryota; Metazoa; Nematomorpha; Gordioida; Chordodea; Parachordodidae
Exons: 3
Source: RefSeq, a predicted model, not a curated record